UUUUUUGUUUGUUUUCCUUUUUGCCCAAUAGAGCCCUGCUCUACUGACCCUUCAAUGUGCCCGUGUGCCUAAAUAUUCCUGGUCGUGUGAAAAGAACCCAGGUAUUAGCUGAACUAAGGAGCACAAUUCUGCAACAUUUUGGCACCCAAACACGGGGCUUGAGAAAUGCAGUCAAGCUCAACUUGCAGAACUGAUGGGAACCCCUUGGGAAAACUGGCCUCAAAUGUUUGUCUACACAGUCCACAUACAGGGUUCUUAACCUGCGGAAACACUUUCUGAAAAUGUCAGAACUCUUGAAAACAUGGAUGAGGAAAAGCAUAAGUACUGCUUUAUGCUUUUCUUAUGAAUUUUAAAAGAUGUAAUUUAAAGCAUAUUUAACUAUCCGGCUAUUUUGGAGAUUGAAAAAAGAAGACCUGAUUUAUCAUGUGCAAUAUCUCACACAUCUGUCAUUUCUAUUCUACCGCAAUUCGAUGGAGUCUUGUUCUGUGGUCCAGGCUAGAGGGCAGUGGCAUGAUCUCGGCUCACUACAAGCUCUGCCUCCCGGGUUCACGCCAUUCUCCUGCCUCAGCCUCCUGAGUAGCUGGGACUACAGGCGCCCGCCACCACGCCUGGCUAAUUUUUUGUAUAUUUACUAGAGAUGGCUAGUGUUAGCCAAGAUGGUCUCGAUCUCCUGACCUCGUGAUCUGCCCACCUCAGCCUGCCAAAGUGCUGGGAUUACUGGCGUGAGCCACCGUGCCUGGCCAGCAUCCUCUAAUUAUUAUUCAUAGUUUGUGAAUUUAGGCCUACGUGAAUAAUAAUAUAAUAUUUACUAUGAUGUUACUAUCUACCAACCUUAUUUUUCUUUUCUAUAAAAUAGGAGCCAAAAUAAUAUUUAUGUCAUACCUUAUGAAGUUAAAAUAAAAUAUAACGAAUGAGGGGCUUAACAA
Molecule: long non-coding RNA, 926 nt
Organism: Homo sapiens (human)
Lineage: Eukaryota; Metazoa; Chordata; Mammalia; Primates; Hominidae
Gene: PURPL
Product: p53 upregulated regulator of p53 levels
Source: Ensembl